CAACUCCGGUUGAUCCUGCCGGACCCCACUGCUAUCGGGAUAGGACUAAGACAUGCUAGUCAAGCGCUCUCAAGCCAACAAGAGAGUGCGGCACACAGCUCAGUAACACGUGGCUAACCUGCCCUCAAGACGGGGACAACCCCGGGAAACUGGGGCUAAUCCCUGAUAGGCGAAGAGCUCUGGAAUGAGCCUUUACCAGAAAGGACGAUUAGGUUAUGCUCCUGGUCGUCGCUCGAGGAUGGGGCCGCGUCCGAUCAGGUUGUUGGUGAGGUAACGGCUCACCAAGCCAUUGACCGGUGCGGGCCGUGGGAGCGGGAGCCCGGAGAUGGGCACUGAGACAAGGGCCCAGGCCCUACGGGGCGCAGCAGUCGCGCAAACUUUGCAAUACACGAAAGUGUGACAGGGCUAUCCCGAGUGCCGUCCGCUGAGGAUGGCUUUUAACCAGUCUAGAAAGCUGGUAGAAUAAGGAGAGGGCAAGUCUGGUGUCAGCCGCCGCGGUAAUACCAGCUCUCCGAGUGGUGUGGAUGUUUAUUGGGCCUAAAGCAUCCGUAGCUGGCCAAGUUAGUCCCNNGGGGUAGGGGUGAAAUCCUAUAAUCCCGGGAAGACCACCAGUGGCGAAGGCUGUCGGCUAGAACGAGCCCGACGGUGAGGGAUGAAAGCUGGGGGAGCGAACCGGAUUAGAUACCCGGGUAGUCCCAGCUGUAAACGAUGCAGGCUAGGUGUUUGGACGGCCACGUGCCGUUCUAGUGCCGCAGGGAAGCUGUUAAGCCUGCCGCCUGGGGAGUACGGUCGCAAGAUUGAAACUUAAAGGAAUUGGCGGGGGAGCACCACAAGGGGUGAAGCUUGCGGUUUAAUUGGAGUCAACGCCGGAAAUCUCACCGGGAGCGACAGCAGUUUGAAGGCCAGAUUAAAGGUCUUGCCAGACGAGCUGAGAGGAGGUGCAUGGCCGUCGCCAGUUCGUGCCGUGAGGUGUCCUGUUAAGUCAGGCAACGAUCGAGACCCGCGUCCUCUGUUGCUACUGGNNUGAACAUGGAAUCCCUAGUAAUCGCGUGUCACUAGCGCGCGGUGAAUACGUCCCUGCUCCUUGCACACACCGCCCGUCGUUCCACCCGAGCGACUCUUGGGUGAGGCGUGGUCUUUCUUGGCUGCGUCGAAUCUUAGUUUUGUAAGGGGGGAAAAGUCGUAACAAGGUGGCCGUAGGGGAACCUGCGGCCGGAUCACCUCCUAAGAAA
This 1232-nucleotide ribosomal RNA is filed under the name Candidatus Bathyarchaeota archaeon. Its description in RNAcentral is "bacterial SSU rRNA". It matches the Rfam family "Archaeal small subunit ribosomal RNA". The record is from RNAcentral. Lineage: Archaea; Thermoproteati; Candidatus Bathyarchaeota.